GACAGAGGGUGCAAACGUUGUUCGGAAUUACUGGGCGUAAAGCGCGUGUAGGCUGCCCUGCAAGUCGGAUGUGAAAGCCCUGGGCUCAACCUAGGAAGUGCACUCGAAACUGCAGGGCUGGAGUCCUGGAGAGGAAGGCGGAAUUCUCGGUGUAGAGGUGAAAUUCGUAGAUAUCGAGAGGAACACCGGUGGCGAAGGCGGCCUUCUGGACAGUGACUGACGCUGAGACGCGAAAGCGUGGGGAGCAAACAGG
Molecule: ribosomal RNA, 253 nt
Filed under: uncultured bacterium
Lineage: Bacteria
Description: partial 16S ribosomal RNA
Rfam family: Bacterial small subunit ribosomal RNA
Source: RNAcentral